This 1441-nucleotide long non-coding RNA is filed under the name Monodelphis domestica (gray short-tailed opossum). Its description in RNAcentral is "lncRNA (ENSMODG00000029975.2)". Lineage: Eukaryota; Metazoa; Chordata; Mammalia; Didelphimorphia; Didelphidae. The record is from RNAcentral.
CCUGACUAUUUUUAGAACACCUACUUAAAGUUGAAUGGGGAGAUCUGUCCAUUUUUAGAGCUAAUCACCAAAAGUAUAAACAUCCCACUUAUUCAUUAAGUGGGAGGUCUGUGACCCACAUGUGCAAUAGUGGGUGAUGAAUAAGAAUCGACUGACUCCUGGGCAGUACUAAGCAAGGCUUUAAACUAUGAUUUGUCCACAUAAAAAGUGGAGGAAGACACAGGAAGUGAUGUGAGAUAAAGUGUCUUUAAAAGGGAAUGACAACUUCCUGAAGGAGUUCUAUUGGGACUUCAUUCUUUGGAGUGGAGGUUGAAGGAGAAAUCUGCUGACUGGACCUGAGACCCUAUUCCUGAUGAUAUUGUUGGACUGACACAUGAAACACUGAAGACUGCAUUACUCAAUAACUUACAAGCUGAAACUCUUUCCAGGCUUGCUUUCACAAGAAAAUGGAUAUUUUUCAAGCUGAACUCCUUAUGGCAUGGACUUGAGGGCCAUUAUCAUUCUCUUUGCUCUUCUAUGGAUGCUCUCCAGUUUGCCUUUAAAUGAGACUGCUGCCACACUCUCUGAUACUGCUAAAAGGAACUUCAGAAAUGGAAAACCUUUCUGGACAUCUUUGAAAAACUUCCACAGAACAUGGUGCAGCCCAGACUCAUGGUUGGUUAGGAGGACAAAGUCAGUGUGUAACCCUUGUGUCAGGAGUUUUCACAUGAUCUGGAGGAUUCUCAUGCAGACAUUUGCAGGGGAUUUGAGCCAAGAUGGCAGCUUAGGAGCAGUGAAAGCUGAAACUACUCUGACAAUCCCUCCAAAACAAUGUUUAAAAAACAACUUAAAAUGACAAAAGUCAAAAACCAGCAGCAAGAUGGAGUGAAUGAACACAACUUGAAAGAAAGGAGUUUACAAAAUGAAAGAAGAAGAUGGAAGCCCAAGAUUUCAUUUGGAACACCAAGGACCUGGGACUGGGCAGAAAGAGACAGGAAUUGAAACAGCAGUUAACAGUUGGUGCUGGACUCCACAGGAGGCAGAAGCUGUAUCCUGCUUUCUGCUCUCAAGAUACUGAGAGGGUAACUGGUUUUGGUCUUCCUUGGGUGGACCAAGAAAAAGCCAUUCAGUUCCCUCUCUGUGGCUAUCUUGAGGUACCUGCCUGCUUCUUGCUGUUCACACUACAAAGAGAAACUGGAUUUUUUUCUGGAGAUGCUGACAUCUUUCUUUCUCUGGAUCAAAGGAGGACUCUUGUUAUGAGAAUUCCCUAAGGUCCUGGAUUGACUUUCCCUUACCAAAUCCCUCUUCAUUUUAACUAACCUUUUAAUAGUAAAAUUAAGUUAGAUUAUAAAUCUUAGUAAAUUAAUAUCUGGGUGGGUAAUAGUAUGUUGGUUCCUCAUCCCCUGUCAUUCCCUUGUCUUUUGUUAAUAAAACUGUUUUAUACAAUUGUGUGAUCCCUUCC